This 466-nucleotide ribosomal RNA is filed under the name uncultured bacterium. RNAcentral's name for it is "partial 16S ribosomal RNA". It matches the Rfam family "Bacterial small subunit ribosomal RNA", at positions 28 to 507 of the family's 1533-position model. The record is from RNAcentral.
GAUGAACGCUGGCGGCGUGCUUAACACAUGCAAGUCGAACGAUGAAGCUCAGCUUGCUGGGUGGAUUAGUGGCGAACGGGUGAGUAACACGUGAGUAACCUGCCCUUAACUCUGGGAUAAGCCUGGGAAGCUAGGUCUAAUACCGGAUAGGAGCGUCCACCGCAUGGUGGGUGUUGGAAAGAUUUAUCGGUUUUGGAUGGACUCGCGGCCUAUCAGCUUGUUGGUGAGGUAAUGGCUCACCAAGGCGACGACGGGUAGCCGGCCUGAGAGGGUGACCGGCCACACUGGGACUGAGACACGGCCCAGACUCCUACGGGAGGCAGCAGUGGGGAAUAUUGCACAAUGGGCGAAAGCCUGAUGCAGCGACGCCGCGUGAGGGAUGACGGCCUUCGGGUUGUAAACCUCUUUCAGUAGGGAAGAAGCGAAAGUGACGGUACCUGCAGAAGAAGCACCGGCUAACUACGUG